UAAGCGGAGGAAAAGAAACUAACAAGGAUUCCCCUAGUAACUGCGAGUGAAGCGGGAAAAGCUCAAAUUUAAAAUCUGGUGGUCUUUGNNCAUUCGAGUUGUAAUUUAGAGAAGCGUCUUCCGCGCUGGACCGUGCACAAGUCUCCUGGAAUGGAGCGUCAUAGAGGGUGAGAAUCCCGUCUUUGGCACGGACACACCAGGGCUUUUGUGAUGCGCUCUCGAAGAGUCGAGUUGUUUGGGAAUGCAGCUCAAAAUGGGUGGUGAACUCCAUCUAAAGCUAAAUAUUGGCGAGAGACCGAUAGCGAACAAGUACCGUGAGGGAAAGAUGAAAAGCACUUUGGAAAGAGAGUGAAACAGUACGUGAAAUUGUUGAAAGGGAAACGCUUGAAGUCAGUCACGUCGACCGAGACUCAGCCUUGCCUUGGCUUGGUGUACUUCUCGGCUGACGGGUCAGCAUCAAUUUUGCCCCCUGGAUAAUGGCGAGGGAAAUGUGACACCUUUACGGUGUGUUAUAGUCUCUCGUCGCAUGCAAGGGUUGGGAUUGAGGAACUCAGCACGCGCCUUUGGGUGUCGGGGCUUUGCCCACGAUACGUGCUUAGGAUGUUGGCAUAAUGGCUUUAAACGACC
RNAcentral lists this ribosomal RNA (627 nucleotides) under uncultured Russulaceae. Its description in RNAcentral is "LSU rRNA". It matches the Rfam family "Eukaryotic large subunit ribosomal RNA", at positions 47 to 649 of the family's 3401-position model. The record is from RNAcentral. Lineage: Eukaryota; Fungi; Basidiomycota; Agaricomycetes; Russulales; Russulaceae.